This 207-nucleotide ribosomal RNA is filed under the name uncultured bacterium. RNAcentral's name for it is "partial 16S ribosomal RNA". It matches the Rfam family "Bacterial small subunit ribosomal RNA", at positions 568 to 774 of the family's 1533-position model. The record is from RNAcentral.
CGCGUAGGUGGCCCGUUAAGUGGCUGGUGAAAUCCCGCGGCUCAACUGCGGGGCUGCCGGUCAUACUGGCGAGCUAGAGCACGGUAGGGGCAGAUGGAAUUCCCGGUGUAGCGGUGGAAUGCGUAGAGAUCGGGAAGAAUACCAGUGGCGAAGGCGUUCUGCUGGGCCGUUGCUGACACUGAGGCGCGACAGCGUGGGGAGCAAACA